GACGAACGCUGGCGGCGUGCCUAAUACAUGCAAGUAGAACGCUGAAGGAGGAGCUUGCUUCUCUGGAUGAGUUGCGAACGGGUGAGUAACGCGUAGGUAACCUGCCUGGUAGCGGGGGAUAACUAUUGGAAACGAUAGCUAAUACCGCAUAAGAGUAGAUGUCGCAUGACAUUUGCUUAAAAGGUGCAAUUGCAUCACUACCAGAUGGACCUGCGUUGUAUUAGCUAGUUGGUGAGGUAACGGCUCACCAAGGCAACGAUACAUAGCCGACCUGAGAGGGUGAUCGGCCACACUGGGACUGAGACACGGCCCAGACUCCUACGGGAGGCAGCAGUAGGGAAUCUUCGGCAAUGGACGGAAGUCUGACCGAGCAACGCCGCGUGAGUGAAGAAGGUUUUCGGAUCGUAAAGCUCUGUUGUAAGAGAAGAACGAGUGUGAGAGUGGAAAGUUCACACUGUGACGGUAUCUUACCAGAAAGGUACGGCUAACUACGUG
Molecule: ribosomal RNA, 495 nt
Filed under: uncultured bacterium
Lineage: Bacteria
Description: partial 16S ribosomal RNA
Rfam family: Bacterial small subunit ribosomal RNA
Source: RNAcentral